RNAcentral lists this long non-coding RNA (224 nucleotides) under Elaeis guineensis (African oil palm). Its description in RNAcentral is "long non-coding RNA (EGUI_LNC069499)". The record is from RNAcentral. Lineage: Eukaryota; Viridiplantae; Streptophyta; Magnoliopsida; Arecales; Arecaceae.
GGCUGAAUUACAGCAUGAAUUUCUUAAGAUAUUCUAUCCCAUAGGUUGAACCAACAUCAUGAGAUGAGCCAUCACUGCUUAGCUUUCGGAGGAACAAAUUCAUGAAUCAUAAAAAAGACUUAAGGAACUUUUGAGAAAAUACCCACACCAUGGUCUACCUAAGUGGCAAAUUGUUCAAGCUUUCUAUGAGGGUUUAGGAGACCAAUAUAGAUAGAUGGGAGAUG